AUUUAUUUAGUAUAAUAAGUACUUUUGAUUUCCAAUCAAAAAGUCUAAUAUAACUUAGAAUAAAUA
This 66-nucleotide transfer RNA is filed under the name Acromantis japonica. RNAcentral's name for it is "tRNA-Gly". It matches the Rfam family "tRNA". From Rfam's summary of the family: Transfer RNA (tRNA) molecules are approximately 80 nucleotides in length. Their secondary structure includes four short double-helical elements and three loops (D, anti-codon, and T loops). Lineage: Eukaryota; Metazoa; Arthropoda; Insecta; Mantodea; Hymenopodidae. RNAcentral also lists the same sequence under 1 other name. The record is from RNAcentral.